GACGAACGCUGGCGGCGCGCCUAAUACAUGCAAGUCGUACGGGCACCCUUCGGGGUGUCAGUGGCGGACGGGUGAGUAACACGUGGGUGACCUGCCCUGCAGUGGGGAAUAACUCUGGGAAACCAGAGCUAAUACCGCAUAUGCUUAGUGCAUCAUAGCAUUAAGUAAAGAGAAAUCGCUGCAGGAGGGGCCUGCGCCGGAUUAGCUAGUCGGUGGGGUAAUGGCCUACCGAGGCGACGAUCCGUAGCUGGUCUGAGAGGACGACCAGCCACACUGGGACUGAGACACGGCCCAGACUCCUACGGGAGGCAGCAGUAAGGAAUAUUCCACAAUGGGC
Molecule: ribosomal RNA, 337 nt
Filed under: uncultured bacterium
Lineage: Bacteria
Description: bacterial SSU rRNA
Rfam family: Bacterial small subunit ribosomal RNA
Source: RNAcentral